RNAcentral lists this ribosomal RNA (382 nucleotides) under Bathycoccus sp. RNAcentral's name for it is "partial small subunit ribosomal RNA". It matches the Rfam family "Eukaryotic small subunit ribosomal RNA", at positions 582 to 975 of the family's 1831-position model. The record is from RNAcentral. Lineage: Eukaryota; Viridiplantae; Chlorophyta; Mamiellophyceae; Mamiellales; Bathycoccaceae.
AUUCCAGCUCCAAUAGCGUAUAUUUAAGUUGUUGCAGUUAAAAAGCUCGUAGUUGGAUUUUGGUUAAGAGGGCGCGGUCGGCCGUUUGGUCUGUACUGCGUUGUCUUGACUUCCUGAUGAGGACAUGCUCUUGGUUAACGCUGAGACAUGGAGUCAUCGUGGUUACUUUGAAAAAAUUAGAGUGUUCAAAGCGGGCUUACGCUUGAAUAUAUUAGCAUGGAAUAACACUAUAGGACUCCUGUCCUAUCUCGUUGGUCUCGGGAUGGGAGUAAUGAUUAAGAGGAACAGUUGGGGGCAUUCGUAUUUCAUCGUCAGAGGUGAAAUUCUUGGAUUUAUGAAAGACGAACUUCUGCGAAAGCAUUUGCCAAGGAUGUUUUCAUCA